GGCUCAGGACGAACGCUGGCGGCGUGCUUAACACAUGCAAGUCGAACGGGAAUUACUUUAUUGAAACUUCGGUCGAUUUAAUUUAAUUCUAGUGGCGGACGGGUGAGUAACGCGUGGGUAACCUGCCUUAUACAGGGGGAUAACAGUCAGAAAUGGCUGCUAAUACCGCAUAAGCGCACAGAGCUGCAUGGCUCGGUGUGAAAAACUCCGGUGGUAUAAGAUGGACCUGCGUUGGAUUAGCUUGUUGGUGGGGUAACGGCCCACCAAGGCGACGAUCCAUAGCCGGCCUGAGAGGGUGAACGGCCACAUUGGGACUGAGACACGGCCCAGACUCCUACGGGAGGCAGCAGUAGG
Molecule: ribosomal RNA, 354 nt
Filed under: uncultured Ruminococcus sp.
Lineage: Bacteria; Bacillati; Bacillota; Clostridia; Eubacteriales; Oscillospiraceae
Description: bacterial SSU rRNA
Rfam family: Bacterial small subunit ribosomal RNA
Source: RNAcentral